GGAGAGGCAUUGUCCCCUGGA
Molecule: microRNA, 21 nt
Filed under: Gallus gallus (chicken)
Lineage: Eukaryota; Metazoa; Chordata; Aves; Galliformes; Phasianidae
Description: gga-miR-1773-3p
Source: miRBase by way of RNAcentral